RNAcentral lists this ribosomal RNA (676 nucleotides) under Kiritimatiellia bacterium. RNAcentral's name for it is "Kiritimatiellae bacterium partial 23S ribosomal RNA". It matches the Rfam family "Bacterial large subunit ribosomal RNA", at positions 2255 to 2925 of the family's 2925-position model. The record is from RNAcentral. Lineage: Bacteria; Pseudomonadati; Kiritimatiellota; Kiritimatiellia.
UGUGUGGUGGGUAGUUUGACUGGGGCGGUCUCCUCCCAAAGAGUAACGGAGGAGCACGAAGGUAACCUCAGCACGGUCGGACAUCGUGCAAUGAGUGCAAUGGCAUAAGGUUGCUUAACUGCGAGACUGACACGUCGAGCAGGUACGAAAGUAGGUCAUAGUGAUCCGGUGGUUCUGUAUGGAAGGGCCAUCGCUCAACGGAUAAAAGGUACUCCGGGGAUAACAGGCUGAUACCGCCCAAGAGUUCAUAUCGACGGCGGUGUUUGGCACCUCGAUGUCGGCUCAUCUCAUCCUGGGGCUGUAGCCGGUCCCAAGGGUAUGGCUGUUCGCCAUUUAAAGAGGUACGUGAGCUGGGUUUAAAACGUCGUGAGACAGUUUGGUCCCUAUCUGCCGUGGGCGCUGGAUAUUUGAAGGGGGCUGCUCCUAGUACGAGAGGACCGGAGUGGACGAACCUCUGGUGUACCGGUUGUCACGCCAGUGGCAUCGCCGGGUAGCUAUGUUCGGAAGAGAUAACCGCUGAAAGCAUCUAAGCGGGAAACUCGCCUUAAGAUGAGAUAUCCCCGGGGCUUCGAGCCCCUUGAAGGGUCGUUCAAGACCAGGACGUUGAUAGGUCAGGUGUGGAAGCGCAGUAAUGCGUUAAGCUAACUGAUACUAAUUGCCCGUAAGGCUUGAUCCU